This 400-nucleotide ribosomal RNA is filed under the name uncultured bacterium. RNAcentral's name for it is "bacterial SSU rRNA". It matches the Rfam family "Bacterial small subunit ribosomal RNA", at positions 355 to 752 of the family's 1533-position model. The record is from RNAcentral.
UAAGGAAUAUUGGUCAAUGGAGGGAACUCUGAACCAGCCAUGCCGCGUGCAGGAAGACGGCCCUCUGGGUUGUAAACUGCUUUUAUUCGGGAAUAAACCUAUUUACGUGUAAAUAGCUGAAUGUACCGAAGGAAUAAGGAUCGGCUAACUCCGUGCCAGCAGCCGCGGUAAUACGGAGGAUCCAAGCGUUAUCCGGAUUUAUUGGGUUUAAAGGGUGCGUAGGCGGCUUAUUAAGUCAGGGGUGAAAGACGGUGGCUCAACCAUCGCAGUGCCCUUGAUACUGAUGAGCUUGAAUGAACUAGAGGUAGGCGGAAUGUGACAAGUAGCGGUGAAAUGCAUAGAUAUGUCACAGAACACCGAUUGCGAAGGCAGCUUACUAUGGUUUUAUUGACGCUGAGGC